UAGGGAAUAUUGGACAAUGGGUGAGAGCCUGAUCCAGCCAUGCCGCGUGCAGGAAGAAGGCGUUAUGCGUUGUAAACUGCUUUUGCCAGGGGAUAAAAAGACCGUGCGCGGUUAAUUGAAGGUACCUGGUGAAUAAGCCACGGCUAACUACGUGCCAGCAGCCGCGGUAAUACGUAGGUGGCAAGCGUUGUCCGGAUUUAUUGGGUUUAAAGGGUGCGUAGGUGGCCCUGUAAGUCAGUGGUGAAAUAUCUCAGCUUAACUGAGAGGGUGCCAUUGAUACUGCAGGGCUUGAGUACAGAUGAGGUAGGCGGAAUUGACGGUGUAGCGGUGAAAUGCAUAGAUAUCGUCAAGAACACCGAUAGCGAAGGCAGCUUACCAAGCUGUAACUGACACUGAGGCACGAAAGUGUGGGGAUCAAACAGGAUUAGAUACCCUCGUAGUCCCUGAGCGGGCUGGCAAGGCGCAU
RNAcentral lists this ribosomal RNA (466 nucleotides) under uncultured bacterium. RNAcentral's name for it is "bacterial SSU rRNA". It matches the Rfam family "Bacterial small subunit ribosomal RNA", at positions 355 to 825 of the family's 1533-position model. The record is from RNAcentral.